GUCCACGCCGUAAACGAUGUCUACUAGUUGUCGGGGGUCUUGUAUCCUUGGUAACGAAGCUAACGCGAUAAGUAGACCGCCUGGGGAGUACGGCCGCAAGGUUAAAACUCAAAUGAAUUGACGGGGGCCCGCACAAGCGGUGGAGCAUGUGGUUUAAUUCGAAGCAACGCGAAGAACCUUACCUGGCCUUGACAUCCUGCGAACCCUUUAGAGAUAGAGGGGUGCCUUCGGGAACGCGGUGACAGGUGCUGCAUGGCU
This 258-nucleotide ribosomal RNA is filed under the name uncultured bacterium. RNAcentral describes it as "partial 16S ribosomal RNA". It matches the Rfam family "Bacterial small subunit ribosomal RNA", at positions 793 to 1050 of the family's 1533-position model. The record is from RNAcentral.